Molecule: ribosomal RNA, 491 nt
Filed under: uncultured bacterium
Lineage: Bacteria
Description: partial 16S ribosomal RNA
Rfam family: Bacterial small subunit ribosomal RNA
Source: RNAcentral
GAUGAACGCUGGCUACAGGCUUAACACAUGCAAGUCGAGGGGAAACGACGGGGAAGCUUGCUUCCCCGGGCGUCGACCGGCGCACGGGUGAGUAACGCGUAUCCAACCUGCCUCUGACUGAGGGAUAACCCGUCGAAAGUCGGCCUAAUACCUCAUGGUAUCGUCUGCGGGCAUCCAACGACGAUUAAAGAUUUCAUCGGUCAGGGAUGGGGAUGUGUCUGAUUAGCUUGUUGGCGGGGUAACGGCCCACCAAGGCUACGAUCAGUAGGGGUUCUGAGAGGAAGGUCCCCCACAUUGGAACUGAGACCCGGUCCAAACUCCUACGGGAGGCAGCAGUGAGGAAUAUUGGUCAAUGGGCGAGAGCCUGAACCAGCCAAGUAGCGUGCAGGAAGACGGCCCUAUGGGUUGUAAACUGCUUUUAUGCGGGGAUAAAGUGAGGGACGUGUCCCUCAUUGCAGGUACCGCAUGAAUAAGGACCGGCUAAUUCCGUG